Long non-coding RNA from Lethenteron reissneri (Far Eastern brook lamprey), 1513 nucleotides. RefSeq lists it as uncharacterized. Lineage: Eukaryota; Metazoa; Chordata; Hyperoartia; Petromyzontiformes; Petromyzontidae. The record is from RefSeq and is a predicted model, not a curated record.
GACGCCGAGGCGGUGACGUCAUCGCGAAACUGUACAAACACACGUGGCGCUCAGCGUCACCAGGCGAGUUUCACUCCGUCGUGGUUGAUAUCCUUCGUUUAACCAGGGACCGGAGCGGAGAUAUUGAUCGGGGAUGAACGUGAAUGGAGCCACGCGUCAAGGGUGACAUCAAGCAAAGAGAAGACACGGUUGUGAAGAACAGCUGCUCGAGGGUUAAAGUUAUUCCCUUCAGCGAUUAUCUCAGCCACUGGUCCCAAACCGCCACCACUCAAAACCCCGGCACCCAAGCUUCCACCUCUACCCAGGACCAGAGCCCUAGGCUGAUCAGGGUGACUAGGCAAGCCCCAAGGGUUCGGCCUACGCCACAGCCUCAGAUCGAACCCGACCAUGUGAACUGGGAGGCAGAAGCGGAGGAACUCGUGAAAUGGACUCGAGCUUUGAGUCCCAGACUCCUGGAAUAAUUAUGCUUUUACUUCUCCCAUUCAAAUAAUGUACCAUUAUUACUUUGUCAAUUUCCAACUUGCCUCCUAUUGCUCUUUGUAGGUUGAGUAAAUGAGGAAUGGCAUUCUGGUAUCUGACUGGACCUCCUAUUGCCCGUUCUUCUGUCUCUGCACCACCUACGCUUCACAACCUGCAGCCUGUCAACCUAAAUAGCAUGAAUACAAUCAUCUCGAACCUAAAAACGUCUUCCAUCCUCUGCCCUCGAAACGUGUUACUGCCUAUCCACGUUGUCCAUAUUACCAGCAUCAUUAAUGCCUCCAAUACUGCUGCUCUUACUACCAUCAUGAAUUAACCCACAAUGAACCGCAACAUGCCUGCGAAGUUAUAUCCCGUCUCAAACUUCCCAUGUAAAAUUCCGAUAAAGGGUUAUCUUUUCCCAAGUCUGCAAAUUCCUGUCUCUCCAUGGUUUCCAUGGGCCAGUCAAAUCUGGUUUCCACCAAGGUUAUUCUACUGACACUUAUUAUCUCCUGUAUGUCCGAAAUAAACAUCUCUUCAGACCAUGAAUCUCUUUCAACCCCAUCCUUCCAGAGUGCCUCCAUUACUAUAUAGACCAGCGGUUCCAAAUCUGUGUUACGCGGAUCCCUGGUGGUCCACGAGGCUACUACAGGGGGUCCUUGGAAAACACAAAUAAUAUAAUCACAUCCUCACCAAGGCAAUGCACAAUUUCAAAUAACUACUGCAGUAGCAUGUGGUGGCCUACAAAAUGUUUGGAGGUUGAAAAGGGGUCCUCACACUUGAAAGGGUAGAGAACCGCUGAUAUAGACAAAAUCAGUUUUGAAUGUGUUGGAAAGUUAAAUCAAUUGUAAUACGUGUUGUGAAUAGACAUAAUGAAUAUAAAUAUCCAAGAUAAGUUCGGGCACAUCAACUUUUAGUUUGACAAGUAAUAUGCUUCAACUACAGCAAGCAGUCUAUAGGCAUCAUCAGGAUGAAAAUGUUCCACCAUCGCAAUAGGCUUAAAUAGACACAGCACCCAUUGUGGGGAUGGGAGAGAGGAAUCAGGGCAGACAGUUAU